This 7868-nucleotide long non-coding RNA is filed under the name Olea europaea subsp. europaea. Lineage: Eukaryota; Viridiplantae; Streptophyta; Magnoliopsida; Lamiales; Oleaceae. The record is from RNAcentral.
AGUCAUUCUCUUGUUACAAUUCAAGUAAAAUUUAGCAAAAAUUGGUAUACUUAGUUUAUUAAAACAUUAUACAUUUUCAAAAUUUAUUAUAGAUAUGUUAAUCUGAUAUAUUAAUUAUUUUAAUAUUUCAGAAUAAUAUCACGAUACUUUUUUGGUCAUUUGAUAUUUAAUUGUGUGUAUAUAUAUUUCAUCUAAAAAUAUAUUCAGAAAUUUAUAAUUACUUUGAGCAAAUCUACUACAACUAAUAUUAGAAAAUUUUAACCUUUUUUUUACAAGGACAUUUUAGGUACAUCAACGUCAUUUUAGAAGAUGUAUGGCUCAAAAAGUGGCCAGAGUGUAUAUGUGAUACUCAAAACUAAAAGUAGUGGAGGUUUAUUGAGUUUUUAAAUGCGAGGGGCUGUCUCUAAUAUACUCAUAAAGUUCAGGGGGUGUCUCAUUCUCAUAUUAUCCUUCUUUUUAAAAUCUCUGCAAUGAUGGUAUAAAGGGUAAAGUUUUCAGAUGUUUCUUUUGUCAAAUGAAACACGGUCUAUUGCUAGCAUUAUGCAAAACACCUUGCAAUCUGCUAUGACUUUUGUUCUCUCUUAAUUGGAAGCAUUUUGAAGGCUAGAUCCAAUGAUGAAAAAUCGGCUGACAAAUUCUCACAGGUAAUUUUUCAAAAUAUUAACUACUCUUGCUUAUUGCUGCCAGAAGGCUUUCUUUCAUCUCGUUCUUACCAUCUAUUGAUUCUAGAGUUAUCCAGAUUUUUUGACGUGUAAUGAUAACUUUUGGUGAAUGUACCCUCCUUUAUUAUUAUAUGUAUUCUUAUCAUACUGAAUCCACGUUUUAAACAGUUUAAACUGGAUAUUAUAUGUUCUAAUUGAAAUUGAUACAAUUAUCUUCUUUUCAAUUCCAUGUUGAUCUUUGAAAUUAACAUCAAUUUGAAUUCCAUUAUUUUUUUUGAUAGGUAAUCAGAAUUUUAUUAAUUAAAAGAGAUUACACAGGAUGUGUACAAUCACUUUAAGCAAGAAAGGAAUGACGUGAAAUUAGGCAACCCUUCUACAGGAUUUUUAGCUACGACAUUAAACUAACUAUACAAAGUCAAAUAAAACAUUUUCCUAAUAUGCGUUGUUGUCUUUGUUUGGUCUUCGAAACAGCGGUUGUUCCUUUCUUUCCAAACACACCAUGCAAUGCAUCCCGGGAUAAGGUUCCAUGCAAGUUUGCUAUUCUUAUCACGAAAUUUUUUCCUCCAUGCCUGCAAUACAUUCUCUAUACGCCUUGACAGCACCCAAAUCAUAGAUUGAGAAACUAGGAUAUUGUUCCAAAGUUAACGAACACCAUCACAAUGAAUGAACAAGUGGUCUACCGUCUCCCCAUCCCUUUUGCACAUAUGGCACCACUUGACUACAUAAAAGCCUUUUCGUCGAAGAUUAUCCACCGUUGAUACCUGCCUCCCACAACUGCCCACAAUAAGCAUGCCACCCUUGGAGGCAAUUUGCUUUUCUACACCAGUUUCCAGGGGAAUGAACUCUCCGUAGGUCCCGAAGGGAUCUAAAAUAAGUUCGAACAGAAAAAAUACCAUCUCGUGCCAACUUUCACCUGCUACAAUCGUUCUCUCCAACUCGAAUUUGUACCUUCUGUAGAGAUGUCAAAAACAACGAAUAAUCAUCCAACUCCCAAUCCCGUAGGCCCUCUCAAAAGUAAUAUUCCAGCUGUAAUCCCAUUAUGAAUGGCUAAUACAUCACUCACUAUAGCAGAAGAUACUAAAAAAAUGUAGUGCAAAGAAGGAAAUCCUAACUUCAGCGAUUGAUCACCACACUAACAAUCAUCCCAAAAUUUGAUAUCAUUACCAUUCCCCACCACAAAAUUCAGUUUGUACUGAAAAUCACUCUAUCCCUGUCAGAUAUACCUCUACAAACUCACCCCAUAGAAACCACGACCCUCAACCGCACACUAACCCCCCUCCGUCACGCCAUACUUCUUCUCUAUGAUUUCUCUCCAAAAGUUCUCUAUCUCUCUCUACUCCAAAUCGCCACAACCACAUAUCCAAUAAGACUUUAUUAAACAAAACAAGGCUUCUAACUCUAAGGCCCCCCAUCCUCAUAGGCGAACAAACAAUACCCCAAUUAACCAAAUGAAGUUUUCUCUCCUCUCCUAUCCCUUCCCAGAGAAAUUCCCUUUGAAGUCUCUCUAAUCUAUUUGCCACUGCAGCCGAAACAGGGAAUAACGACAAAAAGUAAGUAGGGAGAUUAGAGAGAGUAAAUUUAAUGAGUGUAAGUCGGCCUCCCUUAGAGAGGUACAUACGCUUCCACCAUGCUAACCUCCUCUCCACCCUUUCCACAAUACAAUUUCAAAUAUGUGUACUUUUAAACUGCGCUCCUAACGAGAGCCCUAGAUAUAACAUAGGCAACUGCGCAACCCUACAACCCAAAAUGUCAGCCAACACCUCUACGUUAGCUACCUCUCCUACUGGAAUAGCUUCAGAUUUCCUCAGAUUGAUUUUCAAUCCGAACACCGCUUCAAAGCAUAAGAGCAAAUGACGCAAGUUCCUGAUUUGUUCAUCAUCUACCUCGCAUAAAAUCAACGUAUCGUCUGCAAAUAGCAAAUGGGACACCUGCAAGUGACCAACCAUAAAGCCCUUUAUCAAACCCUCUCUCGCAGCUCUUUUAAGCAUUCUACUUAAAGUCUCCAUCACAAUAACAAAUAGCAAUGGACACAAUAGGUCCCUUUGCUUCAAUUCUCUACUACUCCGAAAAUAACCCUCAGGUGUUCCAUUGACCAAAACUGAGAACGAAACAGUAGAGACACAAAACUCGAUCCACUUACAACAUUUAUCUCUAAAGCCACAUCGCCUAAGCAUAUACAAAAGGAACCCCAUGUUCACAUGAUCAUAAGCCUUCUGAAUAUUGAGCUUACAUAGCAUUCUCGGAACCCCCAAACGCAAUCUUGAGCCAAUGCAUCCAUUCGCUAUAAACACUGAGUCCAAAAUUUGGCGCCCUUUUACAAAAGCAUUCUGAAACUCGGACACUAAUUUCCCUAGCAUCUCCUUUAGUCUAUUCGCCAGGACUUUCUCAAUAAUCUUAUACAUCUCACUGACUAGGCUAAUAGGGUGAAAGUCCUUAAUAUCAGUUGCUCUAGAUUUCUUAGGGAUCAGCACAAUAAAUGUAGUGUUUGAACUUUUCAGGAACUUGCCACAUCCAAAAAAAUAGGUAAGAACAGCCAUAAUGUUGGAUCGCAACACCUCCCAACAUGCCUUGUAGAAUGAAAAAUAAAAAUCGUCCGGUCCAAGGGCCUUAUCAUCAUUCAUGCUAAACACUACCUCCUUGAUUUCAUCCUCCCCAAAUGGUCUCUCUAACCAACCGGCAUCCUCCUCUGUGAUAAUAGAAAAAUCCAAUUCCUCCAACUUCGGCCUCCAUUCAAACUGCUCUCGAUAGAGAUUCUGCUAGAAAUUCAUCAGCUGACUUCCAGUUUCUUGUGGUUCCUCAUAAGUAACCCCAUCCACAUCUAACACUGUGAUAGAAUUGUUGCGCUUAUUAGAAUUAGCAACCUUGUGAAAAAACUUAGUGUAUUUAUCCUCCUCUUUCAACCAAGUGACCCUAGAUUUCUGGUACCAAACAAUCUCUACCAACCUCUCUAGUUUUUCCCUUAGCACUCUAUGUCUCACCUUUUCCUCCCCAGCCAACCCUUGAUUCUCCUUCCGCCUAUCCAAUUCUUCUAUAUUUGAAAGACACUGAAUUUUACGACAGUUCACAUUGCCCACAAUCUCCUCAUUCCAUCUCUUUAAAUCUUCUUUCAAAGCCUUCAACUUCUGAUCCAACACAAAACUAGGAGAUUCCCCGACUUCAUAAGAUGCCCACCAAGCCGGUACUCGUUUCCCAAAACCUUCUACUUUCAACCACAUCUUCUCAAACCUUAAAGGCCUUCUUCCACUACCCCUACUAUUCCCAGAAAGCAUAAUAGGGAAAUGAUCAGAGUACACUAUCUCCAAUCUCCUUUGAGUGACAUCUGAAUACUUGGCCUCCCACUCUUCACAAAUUAAGAACCUGUUUAUGCGAGAAAGAAUAGGUUAGUCCUGAUUAGAUGACCAGGUAAACUCUCCUCCAAUCAUGGGUAAAUCUACCAACAUAUUUUCCCUAAUAAAAUCUGAAAAAUCCUCCAUAGCCCUGGUUAGUCUCCCACCACUCGACCAUUCAGUAGGAAAUCGAACCACAUUAAAAUCACCCCAAUACACGUUGGGAGAUUCCGCCACGCCAUCAUUCCAGCCAGCUCAUCCCACAAGCCCCCUAUCCAAUUCUUCUAUAUCUGAAAGACAUUGAAUUUUACGACAGUUCACAUUGCCGACAAUCUCCUCACUCCAUCUCUUUAAAUCUUCUUUCAAAGCCUUCGACUUCUGAUCCAACACAAAACUGGGAGAUCCCCCGACUUCAUAAGAUGCCCACUAAACCCGUACUCGUUCUCAAAAACCUUCUACUUUCAACCACAUAUUCUCAAACCUAAAAGGCAUUCUUCCACUACCCUUACUAUUCCCAGAAAGCAUAAUAGGGAAGUGAUCAGAGUACACCCUCCCCAAUCUCCUUUGAAUGACGUCUGAAUACUUGGCCUCCCACUCUCCACAAAUUAAGAAUCUGUCUAUAUGAGAAAGAACAUUUGGUUCCGAUUAGAUGACCAAGUAAACUCUCCUCCAAUCAUGGGCAAAUCUACCAACAUAUUUUCCCUAAUAAAAUCUGAAAAAUCCUCCAUAGCCCUGGUUAGUCUCCCACCACUCGACCUUUCAAUAGGAAAUCGAACCACAUUAAAAUCAUCCCUAAUACACGUUGGGAGAUUCCACCACCAUCAUUCCAGCCAUCUCAUCCCAUAAGCCCCCUAUACAGUCAUCAGAAUUAGGCCCAUAAACUUCUAUGAACAUCCAGUGAAAACCAUCCCCAAUAUUUCUAAACGAUAUCGAUAUAGAAAAUGACCCUACACACACCUCCUCCAUCUCAAGCACUCUAGAGUCCCACAUGACUAGGACGCCUCCUAAUGUCCCCGAUGACCACAAGAACUGGUACCUACAUGCUGUCCCCCCUAUAAGUUACUGACCACGGCCCUCGAGUUGAACUUCAACUUAGUUUCUUGUAGGCAGACGAGGUCCGCUCCCCAUCCCCUUAUAAGAUUUCAAACACCUAGCUUUUUUUCAACUUCAUUAAGUCCCCUUACAUUCCAGCUAAUGAGUUUUGGUAUCAUUUUAACAUUCCAUCAUCUCUUCCCAGUAUUCCUUUCUUUGACUCGCCACCUUUACCGUCAUAGUUUACUGAUCAUUCAAGCUGCUUAAGUUCACGAUCUCCUUUUCUUUUUAAUUGACCUCCUUGUGUACUCAUGCCCUGUCUCCUAUUAGCCUCUAGUUCCUCGAAUAAUUGUAAAAGUCUAUUUUCAUAUUCAUCACAGGACACGCCAACCAACUUACUAAAAUCUUGAAUUUUUUGCAGAACCCAAUUUGAAGGUGGCUGUCUAGUGUCAAACGCAUUCACUUUCGCUAUUUCCUCUCCGUGACAAAACUCCAAAUGAUCAAAGGACCGUUCAUCCUCUUCCUCUACCUGUACGACAUCUCUAUCUAUGUUUCCCUUCUUGGCAUCAUCUACCCACAACACCAAAGCUUUUUGAGUCCCCAUAUCACUUUCUUCUAGGGACUUAGAGUACCUUCUAUUAUAUGUGUUCAUAACCCUAGUCGUACAUGUCACAUCGUGUUUUUCCACAACUACCGAACCUAAACCCUCUGCUAAUACAUGUCUCGUCCCUUGUUCAACUGACAGUAAUCUAUCAGCCAGCGGAAUCAUGUCCAUCGCACCAUUUUCACCAUCUCCAAAUUCUCCUUACUCGCCUCCGCUUCUUUAGACAAAGGUCCCACCUCCCAGUCUACUUCGAUCCCUGAGUGGAUAUCAUCUCUCUCCAAUCCCACCAAGUCGACCUCCUCAUCAUUUUUGGAAUACUUCGCUUCCAAUCCCUCAUGAAUCUCAGAUGGGCCUGAUCAUUUCGUGCUUUUUCUUAGUAUAGUCUGCAUUCGAUGAUGACUCCUUACGCGUCAAGUUCACUAGUUUUCCAGCAGCUGGAUACUCAUCCACGUCCACUCCACAUUUGCGACAACAUAACAUCCUGGAGCCUGUUUCAAACUCACUUCCCACUAGUCUAAUUAAUUCAUCCAAUGCCCCUUUCAAUUCCUGGAUGCGGGCCAUUAUUUCAGCUUGAUUCAAACAAUUGUUAUGUGAGCCUUCAGCAUUUGCAUCCGUAAUCUUGGGCACCCACUGAUUAGCUUAAUUUGUUGUAAUUUCUGCAUAAGUCAACCUCUGUCUAUUUCAUUCAUCCACCAUUAUUUUAUACUGAAGAAUCCUUUUAAGUUCAUUUCUUUGUGUCCCGUGUAAUAUGUUUGGACAAUGAACUUUAUUCCACUUAAAGCUGAAGUGCUAAGCAUCUGAAAAUAGGUUCAAAUAGACCUAUAUUUUAGUUUUUUAUGCGAUGUUGGUUGCUGUGCCUGUGCUAAUUAAGUGGACGCCUCUUGAUGCAUCAAAAUUUUAAUUGGCGACAUUGAAUAAUAAGUAGUUCAUGCACAAAAGUGUAGUAAAGCAUCUAUUUCAAAAUGAGAGGCAUGGCCACCUGGAUCAUAUAGUUUAUUGUGCGGUCUCUAACUCAUAUGGGAUACUUGCACUGUCUCUCUUGUUAUACCCUCACUUGUGUACAGAGGUACAUCAUCAAAAUUUUAAUUGGCGACAUUGAAUAAUAAGUAGUUCAUGCACAAAAGUGUAGUAAAGCAUCUAUUUCAAAAUGAGAGGCAUGGCCACCUGGAUCAUAUAGUUUAUUGUGCGGUCUCUAACUCAUAUGGGAUACUUGCACUGUCUCUCUUGUUAUACCCUCACUUGUGUACAGAGGUAGAUGGAUGUAUGGGGUGAAAUUGAAAAUGAUGCUAGUAGAUGAUGAAGAAUAAUUAAUUGAAAAAUUACAAAUGAGAUAUGCCCUACGACUCCCUAAACCCCGGCUUUGGUUACAUGUUACAGCAUUGAUAGUUGAGUCAUUACUGUCUAAGAGCAUAUACUAGUCUAAAUCUUGUAUUUCUUUAAUAUUAGGAGAAGCUCUAAAUGUCUUUUGUCAUGGCUUGUUAAGGCAUGAAAAUGAAAAUUAGCCAUGUGCUAAUAAAGCAACUUAAGAAUCUUUUAUCGUUACAGGCGCUCUCCAUAAGAACCUUUGCCAAGAAUCUUAAGAGUUGUACUUAGAUCAGGUCACCUAAACAUGGGGAAUUUGGUAUAUCACGUUUCUGGGAUUUCCUCAACUAUAAUGAGUAUUAUGCAGUUGUAGUUGGCAAAAAAAUGGGCCACCGUAUUUUUCCUUCAUGAAGCUCCAGGUAUUAUAAUCACCCUGUGACUGCUGCUAACAGAGAUAAUGCUGUUAUGGUUUCGAGUCUUUCCAGAGACUCCGAAAUGCUUUAUCGUACUCUUAUUACCAUUUAGAAAACCCGGGCCUUGGUGAUACCUACAUUUCUUUUAUACUUGCAGUCAUGUACAUUAUAUAUGUAUAUACUGUAAUGGAAAUGUUCAUGAAGGCGUAAAGUCAUGAUUAUUUCUUUUGAAAUUCAUCAAGAGAAUAUUAUCACGCAUUUGUAUGUAGCCGAAUGAAAAAUAUGUAUAGAUUCUAUACACAUUCUCUAGGAAAUAGUAGCCAAUAUUUGUGGGAGAUUUUUCCCAAGUAGUAAUUUAUAAGAUUCGAUGCAUUUUGAUGUAUUCUACUAUACUGUGAAAUAUGGAAUUUAAAUCCUCUUUUUUUCGAUGACUUCUUAAGAAGCCCGUAAAACUUUCUGUCGAUUGAACUCAUUAGAGAAGUUGAAUAAUAUUUUCCUUUUUGAGUUUUGCUACUUGUAAAUCGAGGUU